GCAAGUCGAGGGGCAGCAUAUCCAGCUUGCUGGAUGAUGGCGACCGGCGCACGGGUGCGCAACGCGUAUGGAACCUCCCUUCUACAGGGGAAUAGCCCAGGGAAACUUGGAUUAAUGCCCCGUGCUACCGAAAAGCGGCAUCGCUUUUCGGUUAAAGCCCUCGGGCGGUAGAAGAUGGCCAUGCGUACCAUUAGCUAGGUGGUGGGGUAACGGCCCACCAUGGCUACGAUGGGUAGGGGGCCUGAGAGGAGGAUC
RNAcentral lists this ribosomal RNA (255 nucleotides) under uncultured bacterium. RNAcentral describes it as "partial 16S ribosomal RNA". It matches the Rfam family "Bacterial small subunit ribosomal RNA", at positions 57 to 305 of the family's 1533-position model. The record is from RNAcentral.